AUUGAACGCUGGCGGCAUGCCUUACACAUGCAAGUCGAACGGUAACGGGCCUUCGGGUGCCGACGAGUGGCGAACGGGUGAGUAAUGUAUCGGAACGUACCUUUCAGUGGGGGAUAACGUAGCGAAAGUUACGCUAAUACCGCAUAUUCUGUGAGCAGGAAAGCAGGGGAUCGCAAGACCUUGCGCUGAUUGAGCGGCCGAUAUCAGAUUUAGCUAGUUGGUGAGGUAAAGGCUCACCAAGGCGACGAUCUGUAGCGGGUCUGAGAGGAUGAUCCGCCACACUGGAACUGAGACACGGUCCAGACUCCUACGGGAGGCAGCAGUGGGGAAUUUUUGGACAAUGGGGGCGAACCCUGAUCCAGCCAUGCCGCGUGAGUGAAGAAGGCCUC
This 389-nucleotide ribosomal RNA is filed under the name uncultured bacterium. Its description in RNAcentral is "bacterial SSU rRNA". It matches the Rfam family "Bacterial small subunit ribosomal RNA", at positions 30 to 418 of the family's 1533-position model. The record is from RNAcentral.